This 477-nucleotide ribosomal RNA is filed under the name uncultured bacterium. RNAcentral describes it as "bacterial SSU rRNA". It matches the Rfam family "Bacterial small subunit ribosomal RNA", at positions 452 to 940 of the family's 1533-position model. The record is from RNAcentral.
GGGAGACUUGUCCUCCUUUGCUUGUACCUUGCGAAUAAGGAUCGGCUAACUCCGUGCCAGCAGCCGCGGUAAUACGGAGGAUCCGAGCGUUAUCCGGAUUUAUUGGGUUUAAAGGGUGCGCAGGCGGGAUGUUAAGUCGGCGGUGAAAUUUUGCAGCUCAACUGUAAAAGUGCCUUCGAUACUGGCUUUCUUGAGUGUGGAUGAAGUAGGCGGAAUUUGUGGUGUAGCGGUGAAAUGCUUACAUAUCACGAGGAACUCCGAUUGCGCAGGCAGCUUACUAAACCACUACUGACGCUCAUGCACGAAGGCGUGGGGAUCAAACAGGAUUAGAUACCCUGGUAGUCCACGCAGUAAACGAUGAUUACUAUUUGUUUGCGAUACGAUGUAAGCGACUGAGCGAAAGCGUUAAGUAAUCCACCUGGGGAGUACGUUCGCAAGAAUGAAACUCAAAUGAAUUGACGGUACUUGGAGGACCGU